Molecule: non-coding RNA, 49 nt
Filed under: Trypanosoma brucei brucei
Lineage: Eukaryota; Euglenozoa; Kinetoplastea; Trypanosomatida; Trypanosomatidae
Source: RNAcentral
AAUAAACUAACAAUGGUUAAGUCACUGUGUAGAUGAAUGGUAAUAUAAG